UACGUAGGGUGCGAGCGUUGUCCGGAAUUAUUGGGCGUAAAGAGCUCGUAGGCGGUGUGUCGCGUCGGUCGUGAAAACUUUCAGCUUAACUGGGAGCUUGCGGUCGAUACGGGCAUCACUGGAGUUCGGCAGGGGAGACUGGAAUUCCUGGUGUAGCGGUGAAAUGCGCAGAUAUCAGGAGGAACGCCGGUGGCGAAGGCGGGUCUCUGGGCCGAUACUGACGCUGAGGAGCGAAAGCGUGGGGAGCGAACAGG
Molecule: ribosomal RNA, 254 nt
Filed under: uncultured bacterium
Lineage: Bacteria
Description: partial 16S ribosomal RNA
Rfam family: Bacterial small subunit ribosomal RNA
Source: RNAcentral